Molecule: unclassified non-coding RNA, 342 nt
Filed under: plant metagenome
Description: partial contains 5.8S ribosomal RNA, internal transcribed spacer 2, and large subunit ribosomal RNA
Rfam family: 5.8S ribosomal RNA (bases 1-103)
Source: RNAcentral
GAAGUGCGAUAAGCAAUGCGAAUUGCAGAACCGUGAGUCAUCAGAUUUUUGAACGCAACUGGCGCCGGUUGGCUCUCCAACCGGCAUGCUUGUUUCAGUGUCUCUUUAUCUCAUCACCCAUAUCAUAAUGCGAGAGAUACCCUUCUCUUGCUAAGCUCGAAAGCACUCUGCGCUCUGCGAGCGGCUUCGACUUGUUCGAGGGUCGCACUCAAUGCACCCGUCACAUUGCUCACAAUGUGAACUCAUUGAGAGCUGAGGCAGUGUAGCGUAAGCUACCAGUGCUUAGUCACACAAACUUUACUUGCAUCUGAAAUCAAGCAGGAUCACCCGCUGAACUUAAGC